AUAAUGGUACUCCCGUCUUGAAUGAUUAUAGCAUUAGGCGGCUCUGUCAGACCGACAGUUGGGGUGGAAUUCCCGUGG
This is a non-coding RNA of Dorea sp. 5-2, 78 nucleotides long. NCBI's taxonomy places the organism in Bacteria, Bacillati, Bacillota, Clostridia, Lachnospirales, Lachnospiraceae. The record is from Rfam.